GUGGUAGUGGCUCAGAGGUAGAGCUCCCGCUUCGUACUCGGGAAUACCUGGGUUCGAUCCCAGGCUGCUUUC
Molecule: transfer RNA, 72 nt
Filed under: Toxocara canis (dog roundworm)
Lineage: Eukaryota; Metazoa; Nematoda; Chromadorea; Rhabditida; Toxocaridae
Rfam family: tRNA
About the family: Transfer RNA (tRNA) molecules are approximately 80 nucleotides in length. Their secondary structure includes four short double-helical elements and three loops (D, anti-codon, and T loops).
Source: Rfam by way of RNAcentral